RNAcentral lists this ribosomal RNA (451 nucleotides) under uncultured bacterium. RNAcentral's name for it is "partial 16S ribosomal RNA". It matches the Rfam family "Bacterial small subunit ribosomal RNA", at positions 29 to 523 of the family's 1533-position model. The record is from RNAcentral.
AGCGAACGCUGGCGGCAGGCUUAACACAUGCAAGUCGAGCGGGCGUAGCAAUACGUCAGCGGCAGACGGGUGAGUAACGCGUGGGAACGUACCUUUUGGUUCGGAACAACACAGGGAAACUUGUGCUAAUACCGGAUAAGCCCUUACGGGGAAAGAUUUAUCGCCGAAAGAUCGGCCCGCGUCUGAUUAGCUAGUUGGUGAGGUAACGGCUCACCAAGGCGACGAUCAGUAGCUGGUCUGAGAGGACGAUCAGCCACAUUGGGACUGAGACACGGGCCAAACUCCUACGGGCGGCAGCAGUGGGGAAUAUUGGACAAGGGGCGAAAGCCUGAUCCAGCCAUGCCGCGUGAGUGAUGAAGGCCCUAGGGUUGUAAAGCUCUUUUGUGCGGGAAGGUAAUGACGGUACCGCAAGAAUAAGCCCCGGCUAACUUCGUGCCAGCCGCCGCCGUAA